Molecule: long non-coding RNA, 590 nt
Filed under: Vigna radiata
Lineage: Eukaryota; Viridiplantae; Streptophyta; Magnoliopsida; Fabales; Fabaceae
Description: long non-coding RNA (VRAD_LNC004509)
Source: RNAcentral
UUUAGGCUCCUUAUAAAUUUUAUCAGACUUCUUGGAAAGCAAAACCAGAUUAAUACCCGUAAGACAACACAAAGAGGCAAAGGCCACCGACCACGACGACAAGCCUUCAACGGCGACAAAAGAGCCUUCAAUGGUGAACCACGACCACGAGCCUUCAACGGCAGCAAGCUUUCAACUUCAGAAAGGAAUGUAAUUGGACGUAAGAAACGGGGAGAAAAUUGUGAUAAUGAAUGAGCUAAACCACACAGUUAACAGUUCUGUUAACCGUACAAUUAGUUCAGUAUUUUUAAACCGAAUUGUUAAACAGUACAAUUGAUGGUUUUUAGUAAAUAUAAUUUCAGUUUCUUAAGUACAAAAUAGUAUAGAUAAACUAUAAUUUAUAGUUUUUAUGUGAACUGUUCCCAGCCCUAUUUAAAAUGAUUCAGAGAAAACAAAGAAGAAAAGUCAACUGACUCUCGAACCAAUCCCACCGAAACAAAGAGAAAUCAUGUUCAUAUUAUCCAAUACUAUUUUUAUUAUUUUUGUUAGACCAAUAUUGUACUAUUACAACAAUUGAAUUAAUAUACAAUUAAGAAACGUGGUUGAAGACA